Molecule: ribosomal RNA, 300 nt
Filed under: Staphylococcus aureus
Lineage: Bacteria; Bacillati; Bacillota; Bacilli; Caryophanales; Staphylococcaceae
Description: partial 16S ribosomal RNA
Rfam family: Bacterial small subunit ribosomal RNA
Source: RNAcentral
UUUUAUGGAGAGUUUGAUCCUGGCUCAGGAUGAACGCUGGCGGCGUGCCUAAUACAUGCAAGUCGAGCGAACGGACGAGAAGCUUGCUUCUCUGAUGUUAGCGGCGGACGGGUGAGUAACACGUGGAUAACCUACCUAUAAGACUGGGAUAACUUCGGGAAACCGGAGCUAAUACCGGAUAAUAUUUUGAACCGCAUGGUUCAAAAGUGAAAGACGGUCUUGCUGUCACUUAUAGAUGGAUCCGCGCUGCAUUAGCUAGUUGGUAAGGUAACGGCUUACCAAGGCAACGAUGCAUAGCCG